RNAcentral lists this unclassified non-coding RNA (224 nucleotides) under Hevea brasiliensis (rubber tree). Lineage: Eukaryota; Viridiplantae; Streptophyta; Magnoliopsida; Malpighiales; Euphorbiaceae. The record is from RNAcentral.
GGACGAUUCAACUGAUUUAUUAUUAGAAAAAUUGUCUUCUGGGCUCUACCUACUCACUGUUUACAGAUUUCAAUCCUUAGCCUCACUAAAUUCUCUAAUAGCGGGAAUGGAGCAAACACUUGGUAUUCCAAUUACCUUUGAGAAAAUUUAAAUCAUGGAUGAUGAUACACUCAAAUGCUUCCCAGUAGACUCUUCAUAUCAGUGGAUGUCCAAAGUCCGAUUUC